GAGAAACCUGGUGAGUCAGGAGGUGAGAGCUGCUUGAGGCAGGAGGUCCAUGAUAGAAGAUGUAGGUAGGUCCUGGCUGAAGGCAGGAGAACAGUAAGAGGGAGCUGCCUGCUGGCUCUCUGAGCUGGGGAGUAGCAGCAGAGGGCUGAAGGUAGAGCGGCAGUGGAGGGGCUUAUUUGCUGACAUCUCUGCUGGAGCCUGGGGACCUGUAGAAAGGCCUGGCUGUUGGCCUGUCUGGGACAUGAGACGUUAAUGGACAAAGGGGCUUUGGGGAUGCUUCUCUGUGAAUUCAGUGCUCAGGAAAAGCAUUGGACUGACAAGCCAUGCAGACUGAAAUCUUCAGAGCAGAAAAAGAAAAUCCUUGUAAAGGGGAACCUCUUGCUAUAAUGAGGAUCCUUUCUGAAAUAGAGUUGGCUCUGGUAUAAGACUAUUACUAAACUGCAAGCCAUGAUAAAUAUUAUGUCAAAGCGAACACCACCUCCAUUUCUGGAAGAAGACAAAACACAGCCUAACAGAGGAUGAGUUGCAGCCCUACUGGGGGAGCUAGUACAUCCUCAGUGCUUUCUGUUAAGACUUUCAUUUUUGCAGUGGUCGCACAUUGUGCUGCUCAGUCUAAAGUAUUACCAAAAAGUCCAUUUUAACACCUUAGCAGAGACAUGAAAUAUGCCUUGUGCUUUGGGGCUAGGUUGGAAGGGGAGGGCUGCAUUUUCCCCUUAGUGUUGUGUUCACAGAAAACUUGCCCUCAGACCAGUCCAGAAUUUUGUAACGCAACCCCACAAGGUCAUUCACCACCCCACAAGGUCAUUCCCCACCAGCUGAGAAAAGCAUAUAUGAGCCUACUUGUUAGAGUGGCAUUGGGGUUUGGUAUUCUGUAUAUAUUUUUUUUUCCACAGUGCAAUUACCAUUCCUGCAUAACUUAUAAUUAUAUUGUACCAAAAUAUCUAAUAUUGUAUCUGAAUAGCAAUACUGUAUCAAAUGUGCUAUCUGAGGGCACACCUACCUGUAAAAAUUCUGUACCAAAUAUUUAUCUGUAUAUGUGCCUAUAGAACAGUAUUAUACAACUAUUUGUUUACUUAACCUGCAUAGCAAUAAUUUACAAAAUAUUUACCAGUGUACGUACUUGUAUAAUUAUGCAUAUAGUCGGAUAACUACUUAUUGUACAAGCGGCAAAGAGUCCUGUGGCACCCUAUAGACUAACAGACGUAUUGGAGCGUAAGCUUUCAUGGGUGAAUACCCACUUCGUCGGAUCUGCUUCUUUUAAUAAAGUGAAGCUUCUUGUUACAGACUCUGCAACAUCCUUUGUAAGAGCUUCUUAUUAACACCAGGUUAGGUAUCCAAAGUGUAGGAGACUAAACUAUUUUAAAGUGCUGAAAUCCCAUGAAUAAUUAAGUAGAGGUGAAACUCUAUUUUUCCAUCCCAGAAGGAAGCACAGGGCCCAUAGUAUUUACACUGUAGCUCCCAGGUUAGGGCUAUGCCACAGACAAACUUCAGAGGUACCACUCACCCAGUGUGAAUUGCUCCAUAGAUGUUAUCCAGUAGUGCUUUCCAAAGGAGACAACUUUGAUAUUGGUAAGCAAGGAAGCUCAGUCUUAGACAAACUUAGGUGGCAGUAAUCCAAGCACUUGCUCCCCUUAUUCCAUCACUAAAAAAAGAGAAGUUUAGUGUUAUCAUUGACCAGAAAAUCCUACAUUUCCCAUCAAGUGCCAAAACAAACAAAUAAAAAGCAAACCUAUGCUUGACCAUUCCCCUUGUGGCACUCCAACAGAAAUGAUUGAUACAGUUAAGGUUUAGUUGUAAGAGAGAACUUGAAGAUACCUAAAUGCCUUGUCCAUGGGGAGCGCUGUUGGCUGAAUUAUUCAUACAAAUGCAGCAUGAAUGAAGAAUCAGCACACGUCUUUCCUACAUUUGCUUUCCAAGCUAGAAUGUAAGCAAAUCACCAUAAAAUCAGUAGGCUGACUUGGCUGGCACUUUUUAUUAAAUGCAAAAAAAUCAGUUUUAUUGUGCCAAAUUAAAACCUGAUGCAGGUCCAGUGAAGUUGUUACACAAGAGAUGAUUUUGGCCCACUAUCCUAAUAAUGAUUUAUCAGUCACUAGUUUGUGGAGGAGAAUAUCCUUGUAAGGAAAACAAGAAUGUAAUGAAACAUUGGAGGUGGGGAAAGAGCAAUAAGAAAGCUAUUAAGUGCUUCUUCAUCCUAAAUUCAUUGUAGAGAGAAUGGGGUAAGAUGAGACUUUCUUAUUGUGGGGAGAAAUGGUGUGUGUGGUGUUUUUGUUUGUUUUUAAAGGAAUUGGUGACAUUAAAAAGCUGCGUCUUACGCAUCAAGCUUUGAAGUACUCCCCAAGCUUUUCCUUUCCCUGUCUAUUCUCCUGCCAAAACUUUGAUAGCUUUAGCUUGCAAUCCAGCAAGUUCAGAGAUUCGACUGUGCCUAAUAUAGUUU
Chelonia mydas (Green sea turtle) is the source of this 2434-nucleotide long non-coding RNA. RefSeq lists it as uncharacterized. The transcript has 3 exons. The record is from RefSeq and is a predicted model, not a curated record. NCBI's taxonomy places the organism in Eukaryota, Metazoa, Chordata, Testudines, Cheloniidae.